RNAcentral lists this transfer RNA (85 nucleotides) under Pseudogulbenkiania ferrooxidans 2002. RNAcentral describes it as "tRNA-Leu". It matches the Rfam family "tRNA". From Rfam's summary of the family: Transfer RNA (tRNA) molecules are approximately 80 nucleotides in length. Their secondary structure includes four short double-helical elements and three loops (D, anti-codon, and T loops). Lineage: Bacteria; Pseudomonadati; Pseudomonadota; Betaproteobacteria; Neisseriales; Chromobacteriaceae. RNAcentral also lists the same sequence under 5 other names. The record is from RNAcentral.
GCCCGGGUGGUGAAAUUGGUAGACACAAGGGACUUAAAAUCCCUCGCCGCAAGGUGUACCGGUUCGACCCCGGUCCCGGGCACCA